Molecule: long non-coding RNA, 1423 nt
Organism: Canis lupus familiaris (dog)
Lineage: Eukaryota; Metazoa; Chordata; Mammalia; Carnivora; Canidae
Exons: 3
Source: RefSeq, a predicted model, not a curated record
UGCCCCUGUCCAGGAUUGACUGUUCAACUGUUCCUUUGACUCUGUGAAUGAUUCCAGCUUCCUUCCAGAAUCUUCUCCGUUCUCCAGAGUUGACUAGUCAGCUUCAGGUAGAGGAACCGGGUGACUGGGUGACGAGUUGUUUUCUGCACAUCCUUUUAUCCAUUUUGAAUUUUGCAUGUAUUAAGAUUUCUUUGAAGACAGUAAUAUUGUGCCGCUGUCCAGAGCACACCUGAUGGACAGGGAGUCGCCUUUCCCCGGUCAGAUGCUACUAUCACUUACCUGAGGGUGGUGGGCCUCAGCCCAACAGGUGAAGGCUUCCAUAGAAAAAGACAGACCACCCCCAAGGCAGAGGAAAACCAGCCAGAAGAUUCUUGGGUCUCCAGCCUGCUGGCCUACCCUGCAGAUCCUGGACACACCAGCCUCUACAACCACUGAAGCCAGUUCCUUAAAACCAGUCUGUCUGUGUCUCUCCACAUGUGGGCACAUACACACACCCUAUGGGUUCUCUGGAGAACCCUAAUGCUCUAAGAGGGUUCUCACACACAGAGUCCAGUGACAGGGCCUUCAAGGAGGAGCUCCCCGGACCUUCCCCUCCCCAGCACAGAGGCAACAGCCUGUGAAUACUUGUUGAGAACAAUGAAACCUCUUCCUGCUCAGGAGCAGGUCCUGUGGACUGAUAUAUUUAUUCCCUGACCAUAGCCCCUCAUCAUGAGGUUUCUUUACACUUAGUACCUCUGCCCUGAUGCUCCUUUUCAAGGUAAAGAAGGAAUAGUUAAGAAAGGAUUUAAAAAAAGAGAGGAAACAAGACAAGCUACACCCAGAUGUGUGGCAAAUCAUUAAUGCCAUUUUCAGCGCUGGUCCGUGGAUAUCAGCACGGGCCUGUAGGCCAUGCUGGACCUUUCCUCUCCAUCCCUGGCUGGGGCAGCUCUGGGGCUCACUCACCAGUAAUGGACUCCGUGGGGAUGGCUCUUUCCUCCAAGCUCCGCUGAUUCCGGACACACAGGGCUUCCUCUCGCUUCACCUGAGAGGACGAAUCCUGUGCAGGCACCAGGGGCUCUGCUUCUGGGGAGAGAGAAGUAUGGCCAUUUGGUGUUUUUUUCUGAACAAUCAAUCAUCACCCAGAUGUUCUUUGGGUGAUGAAUGCAGCUGACAGCACCUGUUAGCACAGGGGCCUCGGGUUCUUGGCAGGGGGUCACCCCUAAGAGGCAGAAGGUCCUGGGAGCAGAGAUAUAAUCAGAAUUCAGGACAAAGGGGUAACUCAAGCUGCAGGAUGAAGUGUAAUAAGGCUGGGAGAGAGCUCCAGAAACUGCCCCACCUGGGUUUGGGGCUAAUCAGGACUAUGCCAGAAGUUUGAUCUCUGUGUACAAAACGUUCAUUUUCAUUUUUCACCCCAGUCAGAAAGAAAUACACACAUACAGAGAUC